AGGGCACCACCAGGAGUGGAGCCUGCGGCUUAAUUUGACUCAACACGGGGAAACUCACCCGGCCCGGACACCGGAAGGAUUGACAGAUUGAUAGCUCUUUCUUGAUUCGGUGGAUGGUGGUGCAUGGCCGUUCUUAGUUGGUGGAGCGAUCUGUCUGGUUAAUUCCGAUAACGAACGAGACUCUAGCCUAUUAAAUAGACGUCGGGUUCUCUGCACUCGACGGUCUUCUUAGAGGGACAAGGUGCUUUUAGCACCGCGAAACAGAGCAAUAACAGGUCUGUGAUGCCCUUAGAUGUCCGGGGCCGCACGCGCGCUACACUGAAGGAAGCAGCGUGUAACAACCUUGUUCUAACGAACUGGGUAACCCGUGGAACUUCCUUCAUGAUUGGGAUAGGGGUUUGCAAUUGUGCCCCUUGAACGAGGAAUUCCCAGUAAACACUAGUCAUCAGCUAGUGCUGAUUACGUCCCUGCCCUUUGUACACACCGCCCGUCGCUACUACCGAUUGAAUGGUUUAGUGA
RNAcentral lists this ribosomal RNA (519 nucleotides) under uncultured eukaryote. RNAcentral's name for it is "SSU rRNA". It matches the Rfam family "Eukaryotic small subunit ribosomal RNA", at positions 1161 to 1704 of the family's 1831-position model. The record is from RNAcentral.